UAGACCUGGAUCACAUACAGCAGCUGAGAGGAGCCUCACAAGCAAGUCUUGUACUUCACCCAUGCUGUCCCCUAUAUUUAGCAAUCCCUCUUGAAGAACACUCAGGUUCCCACUGGUAGCAAUCCUGGAGGCUCACUGUAUGACACACCUGUGUGGAGAAGACAGCAUAGCCCCUUUGAAGUUACUGCUUGGAUGAUUAAUGACGAUGAAGCAACAACAAAGCCAAGACGGGCAUGUACACUAGGGGAAAUCAGAACAAAACACCCCCAAAUACAUGAAGUUAAAAUAAUUAAAAGCAGCUAAUUUUAUUAUUGGCUGUGCAUGCAAAACAGGUCUCAAAGUCAUGCAACAGCACCACUACAACUUGCAAAUAAUGUCAGACUUGAAAUGAAGCUACAUGUCUCACAAGGGGCAACUUUUAAGUAAUCCUGAAAGCAUUAAGAAGCAAUGAAGGCAAAUCUUAUUUUGUAUAACUUGAAUUUAAUUUUCUACUAAUAUUUUACAUGUUUAAGAAAAACAAGCUUUUAUUAAAAUUUGAACAUUCGAGCAAUAUACUUCAUUGACUGAUACAUUAAUUUAAAAAUUCUGAAAAUUGUUCAAGAUAUCAACUUAUACAAAGUCUACCAGGAUAUUAAAGUACUUACACAAAU
This 650-nucleotide long non-coding RNA is filed under the name Homo sapiens (human). RNAcentral describes it as "HSALNT0042065". The record is from RNAcentral. Lineage: Eukaryota; Metazoa; Chordata; Mammalia; Primates; Hominidae.